AAUCUGUCUAAGGAAGUCGGAUCACCUGGGAAGAUCGAGAGCUUUUUCCGGAUGGAAGUGGCCGAAGGAAUUCAAAGGUAGAAAUUCAUUGCUUAUAGUUAAUGCUUUUCAUGUCUGAUUAUGAUUUUGACCAUGCUAUACUCGUAGCAUAAUUGAUUGGUGCUUAGAGUAAUGGCCAUAUUCCAUAGUAUAUCCUAUUAUCGAUUUCAUUUAUUGUCAUCAGGAACAUUAACAUUGUUGCUGUUAUCAUCAUCAUAAUUGUUGUUUUACCUACGUGUAACUACUGCCAGUUUUCUUGUCUUAUUUGGCUUUUAUCUUUUAUCGUUUAAAAAUUGUGUCAACAUGAAUGUGGUUGGGAUCACAGCAAUGGAUUCUAUGCUGAACAUGUAAUCAAGUGUUAAUGUUCUAUCUAACUUGGUUGAACAUGUAAAUUGCCUUAACUACAUCAUUAUUAAAAACUCCUUGGCUGGGAGCUGAAAGGCUGCCAUAUUUCCUUUGUGCAUAUAACCCAAUAAUUUCAUCCACUGUGAUUAUCCGUCAGUAUGGUAGCCUAGGUUAUCCUGCAAGUGGCAGUGUUUAGAUUAUCAUCGUUUAUACAGUUUUGCCGCCUCCAGUAUUUGAUGAAAUUUACUGUUUUUUGUGCAUCCACUUCGUAACUUUAUUGUGUUAUUCUAUCCCUUUGCUGCAUGCUAGAAUUUUCGGCCUUGUUUGGCAUAAAUAAGAGAAGCAUUUAGAAGGAUACGAGAAACCAUUCUAAGGUGCAAUGUAACAGAUAUGGUCCAGGGUGGCUUGAAAUAUGUUUAAGGAUGUUUGUUUUCCUGAACUACCUUGGUUAAUCAAAUGAGGGUUCACAUUUAUUAGGCUCUAUUUUAAACUUGGUUUAACUCUAAGCGGUUGUAUAGUAUGGGUUACAUUAUUAAACAUUUGGACACUGUACAUUUGGCCUAUCUGUGGUUUACUUGGUGUACUAAUGAUUUUUGGUCUAUAUGAGCUCCUUUUAUUUAUCCCUAAGGUAAACUCCGAAACAAAAAGUCCUCGUCUGAUGAUUGUGUAUUACCGACUACUUGUUCUUGCAAGCUAGAAGCAUCCAGUACAUCGGAACAUGUGGCUCAGGCUAUUUGAGGAAUUGGUGGCCCGUCACGACAGAAAAGUAGAGUUUAGUUUCAGACUGCCCCAUAGAAAUGGGAUCAGGUUUACAUCUUUUUUAUUUUUGCCGGUCCUGAUGCUUCUGAAGAUCAUACAAAGUACAAACAGCACGCCUGCGCUCACAAACGGUAGUUAUGGUGUUUGCAGGCUCUGAUGUAUCUUGCCAACAAAAAAAGAUAGUAAUAAAGAAAACCCCAAUGGUUAAUAUUUACCUAUUGACUAUCUCAAUCUUUGCCUGCUACUGAAAUCCCUUAUGGGUCAAUUUGAUUUAGGUUUCUAUUUCCCAGUACAGAUUGAAGGAUUGAUAGGUUUGUGAAUGUACAUGCCUCUUUUGGUAUGUAGGAUUGGAUUAGGUGACUCAAAAAAUUCAUAGUACAUUUAAGGUGGAGGUGAAUGAUUAUUCAUUUGAGAGGAUUAGAAGAAAAUCACAGAUGUGAAGGAAAUUUAUUCCAGCUAAUCCUAUCAUUUUAGGGGAUUGAAAUAAAUAAAUUUUCUUAAACGAUAAUCCAUAUUUCAUUUUCAAGUUGGAUGAUAUUUUUUUCACUAACUUCUUUGAACGUAUCUUCAAUAUAGUGAGUGACACACCCAACCAUGAUAUUCUCCGAACAUCAUGGUAGGCAUGUGCUGGCCGACACCCAAAGGUGGCAAAGCUAUAUUAGAAUGCAUGAGAACAAUAAAUAAAUAAGACUUGUAAAUAUAAUUAAUAUGCAAAUGAGGAACGUAUUCAGAGUAUACAACUAACUAUAACACUAAGGAAUAAUAUAAAAUUGAAUGAACAAAUGAGUGAGUCUUACACCGAGAGGACUCAAAGAUGCCGACGCGAGAAUGCCUUGACACCAAGAUUGUACACCUCAAUUCGAAAUCUUGAGGGGGCGCAAAACAAAUAUGAGUAGACCAAGUUAUAUAUAAAUAAUAUUGAAAUAGUUAUCAACAUAUUAACCCCCAAAGUUUAAAGAAAACUCAUAGUAUAAUAAGUAGUAGGUUUUCCGAAAACCCUAGGAUGCCAUAAAAAUCUUUAUAAAACAUAUCUCGUAUACAUUGUGCUAACUAGUGAUAUCAGUAUCACCCGAAGGCAUGGA
Molecule: long non-coding RNA, 2225 nt
Filed under: Malus domestica (apple)
Lineage: Eukaryota; Viridiplantae; Streptophyta; Magnoliopsida; Rosales; Rosaceae
Description: long non-coding RNA (MDOM_LNC020524)
Source: RNAcentral